UACGGAGGGAGCUAGCGUUGUUCGGAAUUACUGGGCGUAAAGAGUACGUAGGCGGUGAUUCAAGUCAGAGGUGAAAGCCUGGAGCUCAACUCCAGAACUGCCUUUGAAACUAGAUCGCUAGAAUUAUGGAGAGGUUAGUGGAAUUCCGAGUGUAGAGGUGAAAUUCGUAGAUAUUCGGAAGAACACCAGUGGCGAAGGCGACUAACUGGACAUAUAUUGACGCUGAGGUACGAAAGCGUGGGGAGCAAACAGGAUUAGAUACCCUGGUAGUCCACGCCGUAAACGAUGAUAACUAGCUGUUCGGGGUCUACGAUCCUGAGUGGCGCAGCUAACGCAUUAAGUUAUCCGCCUGGGGAGUACGGUCGCAAGAUUAAA
RNAcentral lists this ribosomal RNA (375 nucleotides) under uncultured bacterium. RNAcentral's name for it is "bacterial SSU rRNA". It matches the Rfam family "Bacterial small subunit ribosomal RNA", at positions 524 to 898 of the family's 1533-position model. The record is from RNAcentral.